Molecule: long non-coding RNA, 450 nt
Filed under: Rhinopithecus bieti (black snub-nosed monkey)
Lineage: Eukaryota; Metazoa; Chordata; Mammalia; Primates; Cercopithecidae
Description: lncRNA (ENSRBIG00000045391.1)
Source: RNAcentral
UGUGGAUGAUGUGAUGUAAUGUAAUGCAAUGUAAUAUAUUUUUUCAGCUGGGAACAUUGCCCAAGAUUCCGUAGGUAAGAAUAAAGAAAGAAUGGAUUACCAACAGAAAUAUCUGUCACAGUGUCUGUGCUUAGUCUGGCAAAGCUAAAUUAAGCUGCAGCAACAAAUCCUGGUGACUUGAUGCAACAAAGACAUCUUUCUUGUUCAUGCAAUGCCUGAUGUAAACCCAGUGGCUUGCUAUUGUAGUUCUUCAAGUGAUGACCGCCUCCUUUUAAGGUUCCUGCUUCUCAACAGUGGCUUCUGGGAUGCUAAGCAUACUUGUAUACACUUAUGCUGAUGAGACCAUGAAUUUCUUCCCCUUUUGUAUUUCCAAGAGGGAUGACCACAUAGUAAGUAUUUAAUAAUUAUUUGUUGAGUAAAUGCUUACAUAACUAAAUGAUAUUGCAUGGC